GUUGAACGCUGGCGGCAGGCCUAACACAUGCAAGUCGAGCGGAUGAAGGGAGCUUGCUCCUGGAUUCAGCGGCGGACGGGUGAGUAAUGCCUAGGAAUCGGCCUGGUAGUGGGGGAUAACGUCCGGAAACGGGCGCUAAUACCGCAUACGUCCUGAGGGAGAAAGUGGGGGAUCUUCGGACCUCACGCUAUCAGAUGAGCCUAGGUCGGAUUAGCUAGUUGGUGGGGUAAAGGCCUACCAAGGCGACGAUCCGUAACUGGUCUGAGAGGAUGAUCAGUCACACUGGAACUGAGACACGGUCCAGACUCCUACGGGAGGCAGCAGUGGGGAAUAUUGGACAAUGGGCGAAAGCCUGAUCCAGCCAUGCCGCGUGUGUGAAGAAGGUCUUCGGAUUGUAAAGCACUUUAAGUUGGGAGGAAGGGCAGUAAGUUAAUACCUUGCUGUUUUGACGUUACCAACAGAAUAAGCACCGGCUAACUUCGUG
RNAcentral lists this ribosomal RNA (484 nucleotides) under uncultured bacterium. RNAcentral's name for it is "partial 16S ribosomal RNA". It matches the Rfam family "Bacterial small subunit ribosomal RNA", at positions 28 to 507 of the family's 1533-position model. The record is from RNAcentral.